UUUUUUCUUUUUUAAUCCAUAUUUAUUGUGUUGGCACUCCCACUCUAUUCCUCCUGAGGUCUCCCACCAUAGGCAAGAGGUGCACAGUGGUUACGACUAUUUCUCAUGGCUUAAUACUGAUUCCAGGAGCAUCAAAGUUCAUGUGAACAUGUGAACUUCCCUUCAGAAUCACAUGCAAUUAUGAUUAAACUUCCAAACAGAUUCCUGCCCAGCCCGACGCAUCAUGGAAAGCAGCCAAAGACUCCAGGCACUAGUUCCUGAUCAAGACAUUCAAUCACCAUGGUUUUCAAAAGCAUUCAGGGAUGAUCCUGGUUUUUUGACAUCAAAACCAAAGAAAGGCUUAGGAGCACCUUCCCCAUGAGCAGUUAAAGCGGCUAAAUGUAGCAGCUUUUGAGUAUCCCACCCAGUUGCUACCUCCUUCUGAGCUAACUCAAGCACACAUGAAAGCAUAGCUGGCAGGGUAUCUUUCAACAAAGCUUUCUUUGCAGGAACUGUUGAUUCACUGAAAUAAACUUUAUACGGAAAUGUUUCUGAUGAAACAUUUCAAGCCCUUGGAUGGCAUUUCCGGCUGAAACCAGCAAGUCAGAGGAGCUGGUCCGCUAGCUCAGACACAUGGUGAGACUGGCAGGGCCAGAAUUUAGGUCUGGGAGCUCAGGCUGCCGAGCAGCAUUGCUCAAAGGCUAUCAGCAGUGCUGUUUCUGCUCUGCCUUUGAAUAAAACAAACGUGAAAGCCUCACCAUCUCAUCGUCAAACAGAGUUCUUGUCUUCCAGUCUGUGUUCAAAGGGCAAGAGGUCACCAACUGAAGAAGCAAAAAGUAAGGAACUUGCUCGAGCUCACAGAAUCCUCAGAAUGGUGACUGGACUCUUGACGGUCUCUAGUCCAACCUCCCACAAAGAGCAGGACUGCCACCACCACGAGCACGGGUCAGUGCAACUUCAUUCAGCUACGUCAUGAAUACCUCCAGGCAGAAAUACCUGUCUACCCCUUGGGGCAACCUGUUCUCCUGCAGCACCACUCUCCAAGAGAAGUCACUCUGCCUCCUGUUCAACCUAAACCUCCCAUGCAGCAACCUGUGACCACUGCCAUUUGCCACAGUGCCUGCAGCCACCACACAGGCUUUGGUUCUGCCAUCUUUGUCACAGAAUGGUUUGGGCUGGAAGGACUCUCAAAGCUCAUCCAGUUCCAACCCCCUGCCAUGGGCAGGGACACCUUCCACUAGACCAGGUUGUUCAAAGCCCCAUCCAGCCUGGCCUUGGACACUGCCAGGGAUGGGGCAGCCACAGCUUCUCUGGGCAACCUGUGCCAGUGUCUCAUCACCCUCACAGUGAAGAAUUUCGCCCUAAUGUCUGUACAAGCCUGCUACUGGAUCCCC
RNAcentral lists this long non-coding RNA (1373 nucleotides) under Strigops habroptila (Kakapo). Its description in RNAcentral is "lncRNA (ENSSHBG00005009767.1)". The record is from RNAcentral. Lineage: Eukaryota; Metazoa; Chordata; Aves; Psittaciformes; Psittacidae.